CGUGUAGGCGGAUUAAUAAGUCAGAAGUGAAAUCCAAUAGCUUAACUAUUGAACUGCUUUUGAAACUGUUGAUCUAGAGUGUGGGAGAGGUAGAUGGAAUUUCUGGUGUAGGGGUAAAAUCCGUAGAUAUCAGAAGGAAUACCGAUUGCGAAGGCGAUCUACUGGAACAUAACUGACGCUGAGACGCGAAGGCGUGGGGAGCAAACA
This 207-nucleotide ribosomal RNA is filed under the name uncultured bacterium. RNAcentral describes it as "partial 16S ribosomal RNA". It matches the Rfam family "Bacterial small subunit ribosomal RNA", at positions 568 to 774 of the family's 1533-position model. The record is from RNAcentral.